This 1470-nucleotide ribosomal RNA is filed under the name metagenome. RNAcentral describes it as "bacterial SSU rRNA". It matches the Rfam family "Bacterial small subunit ribosomal RNA". The record is from RNAcentral.
AGAGUUUGAUCCUGGCUCAGGACGAACGCUGGCGGCACGCUUAACACAUGCAAGUCGAACGAGAGAAGAGGAGCUUGCUUUUCUGAUCUAGUGGCGGACGGGUGAGUAACACGUGAGCAAUCUGCCUUUCAGAGGGGGAUACCGAUUGGAAACGAUCGUUAAUACCGCAUAACAUAAUUGAACCGCAUGAUCUGAUUAUCAAAGAUUUAUCGCUGAAAGAUGAGCUCGCGUCUGAUUAGCUAGUUGGUAAGGUAACGGCUUACCAAGGCGACGAUCAGUAGCCGGACUGAGAGGUUGAUCGGCCACAUUGGGACUGAGACACGGCCCAGACUCCUACGGGAGGCAGCAGUGGGGAAUAUUGCACAAUGGAGGAAACUCUGAUGCAGCGAUGCCGCGUGAGGGAAGAAGGUUUUAGGAUUGUAAACCUCUGUCUUCAGGGACGAAAAAAGACGGUACCUGAGGAGGAAGCUCCGGCUAACUACGUGCCAGCAGCCGCGGUAAUACGUAGGGAGCGAGCGUUGUCCGGAAUUACUGGGUGUAAAGGGAGCGUAGGCGGGAUCGCAAGUCAGAUGUGAAAACUAUGGGCUUAACCCAUAAACUGCAUUUGAAACUGUGGUUCUUGAGUGAAGUAGAGGUAAGCGGAAUUCCUAGUGUAGCGGUGAAAUGCGUAGAUAUUAGGAGGAACAUCAGUGGCGAAGGCGGCUUACUGGGCUUUAACUGACGCUGAGGCUCGAAAGCGUGGGGAGCAAACAGGAUUAGAUACCCUGGUAGUCCACGCCGUAAACGAUGAUUACUAGGUGUGGGGGGACUGACCCCUUCCGUGCCGCAGCAAACGCAAUAAGUAAUCCACCUGGGGAGUACGACCGCAAGGUUGAAACUCAAAGGAAUUGACGGGGGCCCGCACAAGCAGUGGAGUAUGUGGAUUAAUUCGAAGCAACGCGAAGAACCUUACCAGGUCUUGACAUCGUAUGCAUAGCUCAGAGAUGAGUGAAAUCUCUUCGGAGACAUAUAGACAGGUGGUGCAUGGUUGUCGUCAGCUCGUGUCGUGAGAUGUUGGGUUAAGUCCCGCAACGAGCGCAACCCUUACUGUUAGUUGCUACGCAAGAGCACUCUAGCAGGACUGCCGUUGACAAAACGGAGGAAGGUGGGGAUGACGUCAAAUCAUCAUGCCCCUUAUGACCUGGGCCUCACACGUACUACAAUGGCUGUCAACAGAGGGAAGCAAAGCCGCGAGGUGGAGCGAACCCCUAAAAGCAGUCUUAGUUCGGAUUGUAGGCUGCAACCCGCCUACAUGAAGUCGGAAUUGCUAGUAAUCGCAGAUCAGCAUGCUGCGGUGAAUACGUUCCCGGGCCUUGUACACACCGCCCGUCACGCCAUGGGAGUCGGUAACACCCGAAGCCUGUAGUCUAACCGCAAGGAGGACGCAGUCGAAGGUGGGAUUGAUGACUGGGGUGAAGUCGUAACAAGGUA